CCUGGCUCAGAACGAACGCUGGCGGCAGGCUUAACACAUGCAAGUCGAGCGCCCUCUUCGGGGGGAGCGGCGAACGGGUGAGUAACGCGUGGGAACGUGCCCUUUCCUCCGGAAUAGCCUCGGGAAACUGAGAUUAAUGCCGGAUACGCCCUUUUGGGGAAAGAUUUAUCGGGGAAGGAUCGGCCCGCGUUGGAUUAGGUAGUUGGUGGGGUAACGGCCUACCAAGCCGACGAUCCAUAGCUGGUUUGAGAGGAUGAUCAGCCACACUGGAACUGAGACACGGUCCAGACUCCUACGGGAGGCAGCAGUGGGGAAUAUUG
This 320-nucleotide ribosomal RNA is filed under the name Pycnococcus provasolii. Its description in RNAcentral is "partial Bacterial small subunit ribosomal RNA". It matches the Rfam family "Bacterial small subunit ribosomal RNA", at positions 18 to 366 of the family's 1533-position model. Lineage: Eukaryota; Viridiplantae; Chlorophyta; Pseudoscourfieldiophyceae; Pseudoscourfieldiales; Pycnococcaceae. The record is from RNAcentral.